AUAAAAAAAUGCCCCUUCGAGUCUUGGGGCAUUCUAUAAUGUCAAUGAAGAAAAAAUAAAGCUUCUAUUUAAUUAUAUCUUAACAUUUUAAAAUUUGGAUUGUUGCAUGUUUGGUAGAAAGUCCCACCAUCUUUCCCCCAGGUUUCUUGUCGCCACCCUCCCCCCAGGCUUCCUGCUGCCCUGAGAAAAGCCCGCCAAGCCUGCUCUGUUCUGCCCAGCAACAACAAGCAGCCAAUCAUCGCAGCAGGAAAGCCCGCCAAGCCUCGGCCUAUCCUGAACCGACACGUAACCCUCUGAGCCACCUCAGCAGUCUGCCCAGAGAUGGACAGCCUAUCCUAAGCUCCUAUGACACUCCGCCAGCCCUGUGUCCAUGCCCCAUCCACCCCCCCUAUAAAACCCUCCUACCCCAGCUGCGCAGUCGCAGCCAGCCCCAAUCUCCUUCCUUUCCUGGCCUGCCCGCUGGUCCCAAUAAACCUGAACUCGGCUUCCAACUCUCGAGCUGUUAUUUGGGGUCGGGUACCGGGCAGGGGUCUACAAGGGGGUUGCACAUAUGGUGCUGAAACCUGGGAUGGAGGGUCGCUAGCCCCCCUAGUGACCCCCUCCGUCCAGCGACCUCCCCAGCCCUCCUCCAAUUCGGCCUCAGCACUCCGGACCAGGUGGCCUGGCCCCAGUAUCAGCUCGAUAACAGGUCGCAUUGGCCUCCCACCGGCACUUUCGAUUUCAAUGUGCUCCGCGACCUCGAUAACUUCUGCCGCUGAACUGGCAAAGAUAAGGAAGUGCCUUAUGUUCAGGCUUUUUGGGACCUGCGUUCCCAUCCUGACCUCUGCUCUUCUUGCUCUACUCACCAAGUUCUUUUAGCCCGAACUCCCCCACCACAGACUCCUACCUCCCCAACCAAGCCACCUCCCUAUACUCUACAGGAAAAGAUGCCUGACCACAUGUCUUCCCCCUUUGUUCCCACUCCGGAAGUCCACUACCUCUCCCCCUCCCUACUCCUCACUGGAGGAUCUGCCUGAACAUCUGUCCUCUCCUGCCAAUCUCAGCAAUCAGUCGCUAUCAACGGCACGCUCUUCCUCUGCUCCCUCUGCACCUCCUACCUCGGAGGCCAUGCCUCGCUCUCCCUCUACUCCCUCUGAGCCCCCUCCCUCAGAGGCCACACUUCCUCUUGCCUCUCCGGUGGCGGCCCACAC
Molecule: long non-coding RNA, 1190 nt
Filed under: Callithrix jacchus (white-tufted-ear marmoset)
Lineage: Eukaryota; Metazoa; Chordata; Mammalia; Primates; Cebidae
Description: lncRNA (ENSCJAG00000085353.1)
Source: RNAcentral